Non-coding RNA from Eucalyptus grandis, 119 nucleotides. Lineage: Eukaryota; Viridiplantae; Streptophyta; Magnoliopsida; Myrtales; Myrtaceae. The record is from Rfam.
GGGUGCGAUCAUAGCAGCACUAACGCACCGGAUCCCAUCAGAACUCCGUAGUUAAGCGUGCUUCGGCGAGAGUAGUACUAGGAUGGGUGACCUCCUGGGAAGUCCUCGUGUUGCACCCC